Paramuricea clavata is the source of this 1595-nucleotide non-coding RNA. Lineage: Eukaryota; Metazoa; Cnidaria; Anthozoa; Malacalcyonacea; Plexauridae. The record is from the annotation of a GenBank genome assembly.
GUGAAAGUUAAUACAAUUAUAUUCGAACCUUUCCCUGCCCAACAUGAUUCCGACACAACCAGGAAUGGAACUUAGCUUCUCACACGUGCAACGCUUUGUUCUUACCAUUAGACCACCUCGCCUACACUUGCUGUAACUCCCUUUGUUAUUCUACUUAACUCUUUCUCGUCUCGGGUGGAAUUAAUAAACAACGAUGCCUGACAUUAAAAUGCUUUCGGCACAACCAGGAGUCGAUCCUGGUUUAUAUAAAGAACGAUAAAAAGAGUAAAAAAUAGCCAGAUUGUAUAAAGGGAAAAAAAUAUUGUGAGUUCAACGUGAUUUGAACUCAAAUGUUUAUCGGGAUAGGCCAAACGACCUACAACUAAGCCACCAGGGACGAGCUGAAAUUCUUGUGAAAUUAAAGACAAUAGUAGAUUGUUGUGACCUGCUUAUCUCAUGCGGAGAAGGAGACUAUUAUGCGGUGAAUGGCGGUGAACGCGGUGAAAGGAUUCAGUAUAAAAUCAACACAGAAUGAUUAGCUCGAUCUCUUCGGGCCAGGUUCAACCUAGCAAUAUUUUCUUCUGCUUGUAAAGCGAUUUCUCACGUAGAACUAUAAAAAGAAUAAAAAAUAGCCAGAUUGUAUAAAGGAAAAAAAUAUUGUGAGUCCGCUACAAAAUAUGAGUUCAACGUGAUUUGAACUCAAACGUUUAUCGAGAUAGGCCGAACGACGUACCACUAAGCCACCAGGGACGAGCUGAAAUUCUUGUGAAAUUAAAGACAAUAGUAGAUUGUUGUGACCUGCUUAUCUCAUGGGGUGAAGGAGACUAUUAUGCGGUGAAUGGCGGUGAAUGCGGUGAAAGGAUUCAAUAUGAAAUCAACACAGAAUGAUUAGCUGGAUCUCUUCGGGCCAGGUUCAACCUAGCAAUAUUUUCUUCUGCUUGUAAAGCGAUUUCUUACAUAAAACUAUAAAAAGAGUAAAAAAUAGCCAGAUUGUAUAAAAGGGAAAAAAUAUUGUGAGUCCGCUACAAAAUAUGAGUUCAACGUGAUUUGAACUCAAACGUUUAUCGAGAUAGGCCAAACGACCUACCACUAAGCCACCAGGGACGAGCUGAAAUUCUUGUGAAAUUAAAGACAAUAGUAGAUUGUUGUGACCUGCUUAUCUCAUGCGGUGAAGGAGACUAUUAUGCGGUGAAUGGCGGUGAAUGCGGUGAAAGGAUUCAAUAUGAAAUCAACACAGAAUGAUUAGCUGGAUCUCUUCGGGCGAGGUUCAACCUAGCAAUAUUUUCUUCUGCUUGUAAAGCGAUUUCUCACAUAAAACUAUAAAAAGAGUAAAAAAUAGCCAGAUUGUAUAAAAGGGAAAAAAUAUUGUGAGUCCGCUACAAAAUAUGAGUUCAACGUGAUUUGAACUCAAACGUUUAUCGAGAUAGGCCAAACGACCUACCACUAAGCCACCAGGGACGAGCUGAAAUUCUUGUGAAAUUAAAGACAAUAGUAGAUUGUUGUGACCUGCUUAUCUCAUGCGGUGUAGGAGACUAUUAUGCGGUGAAUGGCGGUGAACGCGGUGAAAGAAUUCAAUAUGAAAUCAACACAAAAUGAUUAGCUGGAUCUCUUCGGGC